Molecule: long non-coding RNA, 223 nt
Organism: Micropterus salmoides (largemouth bass)
Lineage: Eukaryota; Metazoa; Chordata; Actinopteri; Centrarchiformes; Centrarchidae
Exons: 3
Source: RefSeq, a predicted model, not a curated record
CGACAGGACGUAAUUCUCAUCAAACAUGCCGCUGGUUAUCUGGAGGUUGAGGAGGAAUGGGGCGUCUCUCGGAGAUUCUUGAACCUCCCUUCUGAUGACACCGUCUUCUGCAGCCUGUCCAUGAGCGCCUUCGUCUACAAAAGACACAAAGGAAACUCAUUAUAGUGCUGGCUGGUCUUCAUGAUGUACGGAGUCCUCUCUGUCUUGUCGACCUUCAUCCAGC